UGUCAGGGUCAUGGGAG
RNAcentral lists this unclassified non-coding RNA (17 nucleotides) under Mus musculus (house mouse). RNAcentral's name for it is "oocyte_clustered_small_RNA3165". Lineage: Eukaryota; Metazoa; Chordata; Mammalia; Rodentia; Muridae. The record is from RNAcentral.